Long non-coding RNA from Dermochelys coriacea (leatherback sea turtle), 858 nucleotides. RefSeq lists it as uncharacterized. NCBI's taxonomy places the organism in Eukaryota, Metazoa, Chordata, Testudines, Dermochelyidae. The transcript is spliced from 2 exons. The record is from RefSeq and is a predicted model, not a curated record.
UGUCUAGGCGAGCCUGUGGGGAGAGCCCCAGCAAGGGGGGUAAGGACAAGGGGGCCCGGCACCUGAGCCAUCAGCCAGCAGAAGGAACUGUCAGCACAGGGAGAACAUCUGUAGGUCCAGGCUGGGACUCAGACCCUUUCAGUGCCAUGACACUACAGAAGCAAAGUUCAACCCUUUGUCCCUGGGCCGCAGGCGAAUGCCCGCUGGGGAUGGGGGGAUGCCCUGCUUUUAAAUAGCACUAGGAACACAGAGAAUGUGCACCCAGGCCUGGGAGCCUGCAAAGAGCCUGCCACAGGGGAACGCCCCCAUUACCUCUUCAUUUGGAGGAGGGAACUCGAUCUUCCUGUCGAUGCGGCCUGGGCGCAGCAGAGCAGAGUCCAGGAUGUCUAUCCGGUUAGUGGCCAUGAUCACCUGCAGGGGAGGAGGCUGUCACUGUGCAAAGGAGCUGGGGUUUUAUCCCACAGUGAGGGGCAAGUGCCCCCCUUCUGCUGGGGCUCAGGGUGCCACCCAAGCCACCUGACUUCCGCUCCCAGCUCAGAAAUGGGGUAGCUGACUCCCCUCUUACCCUGAGCAUGUGGGAGCUGCUCCCUUGCACUGGAGGAGGGGCGCCAGCCUAGCCGUGUGAGGGAGACUCGCGGUGGGGCCGAGAAGUGGCCAGGAGGCCAGGGUCAUGCAAGGCUCUACGCACCUUAAUGUUCUUAGUGGCUUCGAAGCCGUCGAGCUGGUUGAGGAGCUCCAGCAUGGUGCGCUGCACCUCGCUGUCCCCCCCGGAGCCACCCUCCAAGCGUGAGGAGCCGAUGGAGUCAAUCUCGUCCAUGAAGAUAAUGGAGGGAGCGUGUUCCCUGGCCAUCACAAAGA